AGUAACGCGUAUGCAACCUACCUAGUCAGAGGGGAAUAACCCGGCGAAAGUCGGACUAAUACCGCAUAAAACAGGGGCACCGCAUGGUGAUAUUUGUUAAAGAAAUUCGCUGAUAGAUGGGCAUGCGUUCCAUUAGGUAGUGGUGAGGUAACGGCUCACCAAGCCGACGAUGGAUAGGGGAACUGAGAGGUUGGUCCCCCCACACUGGUACUGAGACACGGACCAGACUCCUACGGGAGGCAGCAGUGAGGAAUAUUGGUCAAUGGGGCGGGAGCCUGAACCAGCCAAGUCGCGUGAAGGAAGAAGGAUCUAUGGUUCGUAAACUUCUUUUGCAGGGGGAAUAAAGUGCAGGACGUGUCCUGUUUUGUAUGUACCCUGAGAAUAAGGAUCGGCUAACUCCGUGCCAGCCGCCGC
Molecule: ribosomal RNA, 414 nt
Filed under: uncultured bacterium
Lineage: Bacteria
Description: bacterial SSU rRNA
Rfam family: Bacterial small subunit ribosomal RNA
Source: RNAcentral